This 444-nucleotide ribosomal RNA is filed under the name uncultured bacterium. Its description in RNAcentral is "SSU rRNA". It matches the Rfam family "Bacterial small subunit ribosomal RNA", at positions 26 to 518 of the family's 1533-position model. The record is from RNAcentral.
AGAGCGAACGCUGGCGGCAGGCCUAAUACAUGCAAGUCGAACGCACCUUCGGGUGAGUGGCGGACGGGUGAGUAACACGUGGGAACGUGCCCUUUGGUUCGGAAUAAUCCGGGGAAACCUGGCCUAAUACCGAAUGUGCCCUUCGGGGGAAAGAUUUAUCGCCAUUGGAGCGGCCCGCGUCUGAUUAGCUAGUUGGUGGGGUAAAGGCCCACCAAGGCUACGAUCGGUAGCUGGUCUGAGAGGAUGAUCAGCCACACUGGGACUGAGACACGGCCCAGACUCCUACGGGAGGCAGCAGUAGGGAAUCUUGCGCAAUGGGCGAAAGCCUGACGCAGCCAUGCCGCGUGAAUGAUGAAGGUCUUAGGAUUGUAAAAUUCUUUCAGCGGGGAAGAUAAUGACGGUACCCGCAGAAGAAGCUCCGGCUAACUUCGUGCCAGCAGCCGC